AGAGAGGGUUGACGGAUGCGGCGAGCGACCAGUGUGAGCCCGGAGUAGGAUGUACGCUGGCCUGGAAGCGCUAGACCUGUGAGGUGUGCGGCUGGCUGUUGGAGUGAAGCUUUGGAAGACAUGGCUCCCAACGUGUUGGCUUCCGAACCGGAGAUUCCGAAGGGCAUCCGGGCCGUGUUGCUGGGGCCGCCCGGGGCUGGCAAGGGGACGCAGGCACCCAAACUGGCUGAAAACUUUUGUGUCUGUCAUUUGGCCACCGGGGACAUGCUGAGAGCCAUGGUAGCUUCUGGCUCAGAGCUAGGAAAAAAGCUGAAGGCGACAAUGGAUGCAGGGAAACUGGUGAGUGACGAAAUGGUUGUGGAGCUAAUUGAGAAGAAUUUGGAGACUCCUUCGUGCAAAAAUGGCUUUCUUCUAGAUGGCUUCCCUCGGACUGUGAGGCAGGCUGAAAUGCUUGAUGACCUCAUGGAGAAGAGGAAAGAGAAGCUCGAUUCAGUCAUUGAGUUCAGCAUCCAAGACUCGCUGCUGAUCCGGAGGAUCACUGGGAGGCUGAUUCACCCCAAGAGUGGCCGGUCCUACCAUGAGGAAUUCAACCCUCCAAAGGAGCCCAUGAAAGAUGAUAUCACUGGGGAGCCCCUGAUCCGCAGGUCAGAUGACAACGAGAAAGCCUUGAAGACCCGCCUGGAGGCCUACCACACUCAGACCACUCCGCUCGUGGAGUACUACAGGAAACGCGGCAUUCACUGCGCCAUCGAUGCGUCCCAGACCCCUGACAUCGUGUUUGCGAGCAUCCUGGCAGCCUUCUCCAAAGCCACAUGUAAAGACCUGGUCAUGUUUAUCUAAUGUUGGGUCUAAAGGCUCUCUCUCCUUCCAGUCUGUGAAAGGAGUGGGUGGUGAUGGUUAGGAAGGUGGAGGGAACUUCCUUUCUCAGAAAGCAAGGUUAUCUUCUAAUGUACUGAUUAAAAAGCACUUACUUGAUGUGUCUCAUAUGUGCAGCACUCAUCUAUGUGUGUGUGUGGGUGGGUGGGUGGUGUGAGUGUGUGCUCACUCUUACAUUCUGAAUCUUGUUUUACCUGCUGUUUACUUUUCUUUUUAUUGUUUUAAAAUAAUUAGCACACAGGGCAUUAGAUAUCAGAUAUAUAUAUCAUUAUGACUUUUUUUUUUCUUGAGCUGGUUUCUGUGUACCUCCAUCUGUCCUGGAACUUGCUAUAUCAGACUGGUUUCGAACUCCUAAGAUCUGCCUGUCUCUGCCGCCUGAGUGCGCCUCUAUGUCCAGCUUCAUUAUAACAUUUUUUAAACAAGAUGUGUUUUAGUAGAUUUUCUUCCCUGUGCAGCCUGUGCUGUUAGCUACACACACACACACACACACACACUCACUCUCUCUCUCUCUCUCUCUCUCUCUCUCUCUCUCUCUCUCUCUCUCUUAGCCACACUCUUAUCUGCCAGGCACCCCAGUUCCAAAUCCUCAUAGUACUUACCACAAGCAGCUGACUCCCACGUCUGGGGUCACAUGUGUAAGUCAGGCAGUGUCAUGGUUCCUGAUAUACAUUCUUGACAGGAAACAAAAAACCUCAAGUCAGUGGGUGCAUAGGAUCAUUAAUUUUUUCCCCUUAAAUGGAAUUUAAAAGACAUUACGCAUUCCAGACACUGGCUGCUAGGACAGGACAUCCACAUGGAAGAGUGAUGAGGUUGGACUGUUUCUGUGUUCCACAUCACGGUGCUGUAAAGUUCAGACAACAUGGGACUUCCCUUUGCACAGUGAGCUGUUGUCAAAGAAUUGUGCCAGGUAGAAGGUCCUUUGGGGUGCAGGUUGUCUCUGAACGUCGAGCUAGGUAACAGAGAAGGGCCACGACUGUUUCCCCAGAUAGACCCACUUAGGGAGGUUUGUUUUGUUUGCCUGUUUCCAGGGGUGAGCCAAACAGUGACUGGGGAUAAUCUCUUUGGAUUCAUUCCCAUCAGAAAUUUAUUUAAACACGAGGUAUAAAACCCAAAUCAGAUGUAUCCCUUUCAAAUUUAACCCUUUACCCCAUAUUUUAUGAUGGCUAGCGAUACCCCAAAACAAGACCACCUAUGACCAUUACAAGUUUCUGUUUGUAACCUUAGCUCCCAUAAUUAUGAGUGUCCUAUGGUCUGUGCUCUGUGCCUUUUGGUCUCUGGUUGCUUUGUAACAGAUAAAUUAGUGGGCUGCUGUGACGAGACCUCAAAGCCUUCAGCCUCUGGAAAAGCCAUUAGAAAGUCAGUGAUGUGGCCAGUAAAUAAUGCCGCCUGCCGCAGCAUAACCUCCUACUGACUCUAAAGUGCUUGGUCCCCAUCUGGCUGAGCUCUCCUACUGUCUGAAUCUGUCAGAGGGCUUGUCUCCACAUGGAAGCUCCUGGCCUAGUAACAGAAGGCCAGGCGAGACCGCACCCCUGCUCAUCUCCCCGCCGUGGGAUCCCUGCUCUUAGGUGCUGGGCAGAGGGAAGAGGGUGGUCAUGGGAAGGAAGGAUGGAUGGAUGGUGAGGGAGGUGGGGAGGGGCUCCUCGAGAGAAGAUUGGAACAGUGGCAGUGUUAUAAUUAGUAAGGUUUUUUUUUUUUACACAUAGAUGAGAAUUUUUAAAGUAUAAGCAAGGGAAAAGAUUAAUUUAAAAAAAAAAAAAAACUGUGAUUGGAGUGCAUUGGUGCAGAUAAGGAGACAUGGUAUUAUUUUUAAGCAGUCAGCCUCUGCUUUUCUCUGGACCACAAAGCUAAUGCUCUCUAAGAGACCUCAGCUUCUACAUAAGAACCUCAUGGAUCCCCAGGCCCAGAGCACAGCAGUCAGGCUGGGCCUGUGCAUCCCGUGCAGAGGAGGGGGCUGCUGACUGCCGGGGGCUCCCCACUCCAUAAAGCGAGAAGACUGACCUGCGCGGAUGGAAGAGACGGGGUGUGAGGUUAUGGGUGCCGCUCAGCAGACCAUCUCUCCUGGAAUUGUGGGGAGCAAGGGGAAACAGAUCCCACACUUAAGACUUCAGAGUUGCUUGCUCUAGUGACAAAGCCUUCAGCCACUCAGCACUCCCUAGUCUUAAAACCUUGCCUUCAUUCAUCCACGGGACCCUUUUAGAUAACUGAACAAGGCCUAGGAGUGUAGCUCAGUGGCGUGUGUGUGCCUGGCUCUGUAAAGCCCCGGCUUCAGUCCUCUACAGGGAAGGGUUGGGGGAAAAGCUAAAAUGUCUUAAGCUAAGUCAUCCAAGGAUUGUCCCCCUCACCUCCUGGGACUGGGAUUGCCCGACAACACUGUGAUGUAUUUCUCAAUGAGGUGCCUUUCAUAACUGACCAAAUGCUGCCAUGUUUGGCCCCUGAGUCAAUAAAAUAUGUUGAAAAUUUGUA
Molecule: RNA transcript, 3339 nt
Organism: Mus musculus (house mouse)
Lineage: Eukaryota; Metazoa; Chordata; Mammalia; Rodentia; Muridae
Gene: Ak2
Gene name: adenylate kinase 2
Exons: 7
Source: RefSeq, marked validated